RNAcentral lists this long non-coding RNA (1252 nucleotides) under Struthio camelus australis. RNAcentral's name for it is "lncRNA (ENSSCUG00000013331.1)". Lineage: Eukaryota; Metazoa; Chordata; Aves; Struthioniformes; Struthionidae. The record is from RNAcentral.
UAGAAUUAACCCCCCCGUCUCUCACUUGCUCGCUCUUCCCCUCCCCACCGCGCAGCUCUCACAAGAGACUAAACCACCUCUCUGUUAGAGCGAAUGGCAGCAGGGCUGAGGCUGAGAGAAGAAGAAGAAAAAAUUGUUGCAUCUCCUCCCCACCCCCUUCUACACCCGCAGAGCCUCACCUAGAGGCAGCGUGAAUUUGGACGAGGACACGAGCUGGUUGCGAGGACACACAGAGGCAGGUUGGAGUUGAUGCACUUCCCUCAUUCCCUCAACCCUCUCAAUUGCAAAGGACUGAGCUGAGCCCCUUCAGCUCCUUCUGUGGCAGCGGGAAAGCUCAGAGCCUUUCCCUAUCAGGCCUUGGGUGUUUUCUUUCGCACUGGAUAGCUCCAUUACCUCCUAUCGAGUGAGGAAAGCUUUCAGAGCCAAAGCGGCUGAAAAGCCCUCCUUUCCGGGCACCUAACACUGGGACCUACCCAAGCGCUUCUGAAAGCCUUGAAUGGCCAGGCUCUCGCCGACUAGCCAAAAACAGGCACCGGCCAUCUGCCACCGUCGUAUCUGGACUUGACAUCUAAAUGGGUUCUCGUUGCAAUUGAGGAACGGUUUUGUCACGUGUUCUUUAAAGGCAACAGACGAGCAAAACGUGUGCGCGCGCGCACACACGUGCGCAAAAACGCGGCGGGGGGUAACCUGUUACCUGUACCUGACAAGCACAGUAUGCCAAGGGUGAAGAAACUGCCGCAUCCAAAAUGACCAAGGGAACAAAUCCUGCAAGGCAAACUUUCAAGAGUGAUUUCUCAGCUUGCUGCUGAUACAGAAGGGCAGGCACACCAAACCCAGGACCAAAAGGCCAGAGUCCAGAUUUCAAACCACUUCUGGGUAAAUCCGCAGAGAAGCAAAUCAAGAAACAAAGAGCAGCGCUCCUCUGAAGCACAGAAUUUCAUCCCUUCCUCGGGAAUGGCUAGGCAGUUAAAAGGAAAGGGGCUGUGCAUGUACCUCGAGCGAUUCCCUCUUCACCGAAUGGAGGAACAGGCUCCGUCCAGAGAGGUUGGAAAAGGGCUUCCUGCGGCAUCUCAUCUUCAGUUACGGCCUGAUUGAAAAAGUUGUGCAGAGUUUGGACCAGGCGCCUACGUCAUACAUACUUAGCAGGAGGCACUGACUUCUUAUAUAUGUGGCUUGUACAGCACAGAGCACCUGGCGCUUAACAAGUGGUAAGUAAUAAUAGCUGUCCACUAAAUGCAUAAAUGUUUUAAGU